Long non-coding RNA from Acinonyx jubatus (cheetah), 4872 nucleotides. RefSeq lists it as uncharacterized. The record is from RefSeq and is a predicted model, not a curated record. The transcript has 3 exons. NCBI's taxonomy places the organism in Eukaryota, Metazoa, Chordata, Mammalia, Carnivora, Felidae.
UAAUAUAAGUUGAAGGGAGUUUGUAGAACUAAACGGUUUAAAACUGGGGCGGUUUUCCUGCCUCCCAGAAGUCGUGCAGGGACACUGCUCUCUACUGAGAAGGCUUCAGGCCACAGACGAAACCCAAACACGGCUGUGGCCACGUCCAUGCGGCAAACACACCAGUAGGACUGAACUGCACAGCUCCCGCACUUGUCCUCAGCCUCGAUGCGUGGAGCCCAGCUGCACGGAGCUCCCUCGAAGCCUGCAGCUGGGAGGAAGCCCAGCACUUUUCUCUGACCACCACCUCAGGAUAGGCGCCCUUCUCCUCUUCCUGAGGCUUAGCUGCUGCAAAGCAGUGGCAUUUUGAUUUGAGAAGAAGGAGAGACCUUUGAUGAGCAGGCCCAGGAGCAGGUGGCCAGAAAACACAGAGAGCUUGGACGGUCUUGGGAAGGAAGGCCAGGCAUUGGCAUCACGGACCGGGCUAAGCAAGGCUCCUCAGCAGCCCUGCGUGGCCAGGACUCUGGUCACCUCUGCACGGGCACGCAGGCAAAGACUGGGAAUGGUACGCAAAUCACAAUGAAGACCCUAUUUGUAAACAGACUGGUGGAUGAAGAAACCUCCAAAUUGUCUUUCUCCUGUAGCAGCAGAACUGCUGGCCAAGGGCAGGUCACGUCAGAAGAUUCAGGACUAUGGAUGAGGUCCACAGGCUCAGGUUUCAGGCAGUAGUUCUAACACACGGUUCACACUGCCUCAACUCAAGGACGCCUCAGUGCUGAAGAAAGAGUUGAAAAAGCGCAUUGCUCCAUUCCUCUUCUCCAGAAAACCUGAGCCUGUUUCCACAAGAGGGACCUUAGAACAUGUUCCUAUGUCAUUCAUUACUGCUUAUUUCGGCUCUUCGUUCGUGCUGUGCUUCUCGUUUCAAAAUUUUAGCACAUGCGCUGUUAAAGCAAGUGCCAUCUUAUGCUUAUGGAUGGCCCAUUUAUGGGUGAAUAGUCACUCUUCGAGUUGAAUAGAAUGACAGUAUUUCAGUACUCACAUAGGAUGGAAGGAAGAGGUCUGAGUCACAUACCUAUGUUGAACACAACUGGUGAACAAAUACACUCUACUCAGUUCAUUAUUAUUCAACUGGUUUACUCUACCAGUCCAAUGGAAUGAAGUUAUGGGCAGUGGGAAAGAGCAAGUUCAUGUCUGGAUGCUUGUGCCCCAAUUAAUGUCUUCACGUGUCUCCAGUAGACCGUACAGAUAAGACUUUGGCCAUCCUCUCUGUUGGGGCAGCUUGUAUCUCUCUUCUUAAAAAGUUCUUCGUGAAACAAAACUUAGGUUUUGAAGUUUGGAACGGGUAAUGGGGGAUUUUUGUUUGUUAAAGUUGACUUUAAAGAACCUAAAUUAAGACAGAGUACUUAAAAAAAAAAUAGGCCAAGGGAAUGCAGAAAACAAACACACUUGAAGGGAAAGCACAGAUUUGCUAAAAUACUGACUUUCUUGCCCCAAAACGAAGAUGAUCCCAACAUUUCACUUCAUACACCAACGUCUUCUAUUUUGCGUUAGAUUUAAAUGAGCUGAACCCUCACAGUAAAACAUGUCACCAAGUUCUAAUCACGAGAAACAAAUUACUGAAAAAGUUUUUCUACUUUAUGGAAAAAUUUUAGAAAUUGUCUACUUAGUCAUAAAAAUGUUCUCAUAUCUCCUUUUAUCUUUUAAGUCAUCCAAGGGCCAGACGUUGAGAAACUGGGGUGAAGGCUUUCCCUUUGCUCCAAACAACUCGCAGCCUGUAAUGCAGCUUAAUUAAAUAAUUGCCUUGGGCUGUCUUGAGUAUAAUUAAUCAUUUAGCCCUAGAGGUUGCUGGAAACAACAGUGGACACAAAACUCAAGGAUUCAGGGUUUGUGAGAUGUAAAAUUUUGAUGUUCUCACAGCCCUUGCUGGCCCCGAGCUAGAUAAGCGAGUGUAAUUUAAGCUGAAUGUCAUAGAUAUUUAGUUGUAAACUUGGAGCUGGAAGUAUCUCGGAGUAUGGAAUUUAAAUCCAGCAGACUCUGGAAUUGGGGCUUUUAUCCCCGGCCAGAGUCGGGGCAGGAAAAUGAAGACCAUGGGUACCUUUUCCAGGGAAAGACAGGAGGAUCCUGGACCGGCCUCCAUGGUGGGGAGUGAGGCCGAGUUCUUGGGCAGUGAGUUGAGUAUAUGAACGGAGGAAAGCGGAAGAGAAAGGCAUGGUUGGGGGGUGAUGAGGGCCACCUGAUGGCACUCUGUCUGGGCUGUGCUCAUUGCGUUGACCACCCAAUGGAUCUGCACCCGGCUGUAUCUCUGGCCGUGAUCUUGACUGUCAAGGACACGCAGGAGGCAGAGCUGGGACCCGUGGGCCCAAGCCCUGCGCCUCUCAACCCUCACGCCUUCUUGCUUCCCUCCAGCACUGUUGUGAGAGGGAAGUGAGGCCUCUCGUGAGAAGCACGAGAAGGAAAAAGAGCCAGAGAAAUGGAGUGGCUGCUUUGAAUACAGGCAGCCUUCCUUAAAAGUUUAAAAUCGUGGUGUUUUUCCUUCAACGGCAACGAAGAGGAAUCUAUUAAAAUUUUAAAUUGACUUUGUUAGCUCUCAAAGUGAAAACUCAGGAGGCCUAUAUUUCCUCCAGAUAAGUUUUUGUUUUUCUCAAAAUUCAGUUUUUAAUCUCCAAAGCAGUGGCGCAUCAGGCAAUAACACAGCCUCCUGCUGUGGUUCUUAGUAUGAUCUUUCUUACGACUCCCGGGCAAUUCAGAGAGUGGCGCAUGGAUUUUGACUACCUGUAAUAAGGCAACGAUUAGAAUAUGUGAAUUUUCCGGACCCGGUUCCAUGUUCAACUGCUAAUUGAAUUUUCGUGGGAAAAAAAAGACUUCUGGUCUCAAUAUCAGGCUGUCAGUCAUAAGUUAGAACCGCGGUUGGCAUGAAAUCUAAUUUCAGUCCUUUCCUGGGGGAGCCCAUGGGUAAAAGUAAUAUCCCACCUCACGCACGCUGGAUACAGCGAUCGCAGCGAUGUUACUGAACACGCAAGCCCCGUUGGGCUUAUUUCCAACGAGCAAUUUCCAUGAGAACGACUCAUGUACAAUCAAAACAAAUAGGCAGUGUCCCCUACUGCAUGCAAAGCCCGGGCUAGCUAAGGUAGAACACACAAGGAUAUCUCACCCAUGGUUCCCGUUUCAAAUGUAAUUCACGUCCGGGUUUGGGAGGCAUGACAGAAGAGGUAAAACGUUAAACUAUUAUAAAAGAUUUUAAUAACAGUUGUGACUGGCACAUCAGUAAUAAUAAUAGCAGCUUACGAUUUAUGAAGAGACCACCCCGUGAGUCAGGCUCCUUUCUAAAAACAACAGCUUUAUCGAGAAAUGAUUCACAUACCAUUAAGGUCACUCUUUUAAAGCAUGCAACUCGAUGACUUUUAGUACGUUCAGUGAGUUGUGCAAACAUCACCACUGAUUCUAGAAUGUUUUCAUCACCCCCCAAAAAACUAUGUACCCAUCAACAGUCACUCCUUAUGCUCUCCCGCCCCAUGAGCCAGGCUUUUGAAUCCCUCUGUUUUCUCUAAUAUUUAGAGCAAUCUUUUUAGAGCAGGUAUCAUGAGCCCCUUUCACUAAGAGGAAGCCAAUGAUAAGAGUCCAAGGUCACUGUAGUGGGUUGAAUAGUGUUGCCCCAAAAGAUAUGUCUAAGUUCCAACAAAGGUACCUAGGAAUGGAACCCUUGGAAAAAGGGUCUUUUCGGGUGUGAUUUUUGCUCACGAUCUCAAGGUGAGCUCAUCCUGGAUUCACGGUGGGCCCUAAAUUCAAUGACAUGUGUCCUUAGAGAAAAAGGAGAAGACAGGGACAUGGCGGGGAGGCUACAUCAAGGUGGAGGCAGAAACCAGAGUGACACAAGCCAGGAAACGCCAAGGGUUGCCAGGAGCCGCCAGGAGCCAGGAGGGACCCACGGUGGAUCCUCCCUCCAACACUGCUGACUCCUUGACUUCAGACUUCCGGCCUCAAGGACUGUGACAGAAGAAAUCUCUGUCGCUCUAAGCCCCCAAGUUCGGGGUCGUUCGUCAUGGCAGCCAGGCAACUCACCCAGUCACACAGCUGGUCAGCGGCACAGCUGGGAAGCCCCAGGUGGACGUGGCUCCCAAGCCCAUCCCUCGUCCUUGGCCACACGGGGUGACCGGCCUUCUCGCCUUAGUCACCAAGGACUUACGCUGGGGAGGCCACAGCGGAGCUCGAGGGCAAAGGCCGCCCACGGGAUGGGUGGCCAGCCCGGUGCUGACAGAGGGAGGGAUCACAAAUGGCCUGUGUGAAACACGGGGCCUUGAGGGGAGUCUGGGAGGAUGGGGAGGGCUUGGAGGGCAGGUGAGUGGCCUUGAAGCAGCAAGAGUCGAGGAGAGAGAAAGGUCAGAGAGUGCGGGCGAACACUGAGGACAUGGGAGCGUGGGUGCAGACGCACGGUGGGGGCCGCGGAAGGAAGGCAGGACACACGAUGCAGGCUUUGUCUUCUGCCUCUCCCUUCUCCCUGGCUUUGGCCUUGGCUGCACCACGGCCUCGUCACGUACCGGUCCGCACCCUCCGUGCGCACUACAGUGUGCCUCUGAUGCAGCUUCGGCCUCCUGGCCGCCAGGACUCUGCUCUUGCUGCGUGUCCCCUCUUUCCUCUGCCUGCCCCGCCCCCACCCCACGACGCUCUCUCAGAUUCUGCAGUGUAACCGUUGGCGGCCACCCCUCUGACCUGCUGGGAUGCCAGCUGCUUUAAGGCCCGGGCCAUGUCCCCUUCCUCAGCGUCCCCACCUGAAGUCUUGUCACCGUUCCCGUGGCUGCCCUUGGCUGCAGUGACCUUCCGGGCUGGCGCUUACCCCUCACGGCCCAGCCCAGCCAGACCUUCAGGAUCGCCCGGCAUGCCGGUCCCUUCCGUGGU